Molecule: transfer RNA, 73 nt
Filed under: Candidatus Pacearchaeota archaeon
Lineage: Archaea; Nanobdellati
Description: tRNA-Glu
Rfam family: tRNA
About the family: Transfer RNA (tRNA) molecules are approximately 80 nucleotides in length. Their secondary structure includes four short double-helical elements and three loops (D, anti-codon, and T loops).
Source: RNAcentral
GCCCCUGUAGUUCAGUGGCCAAGAAUGCAGCCCUCUCACGGCUGUGACCCGAGUUCGAAUCUCGGCGGGGGCG